Molecule: ribosomal RNA, 253 nt
Filed under: uncultured bacterium
Lineage: Bacteria
Description: partial 16S ribosomal RNA
Rfam family: Bacterial small subunit ribosomal RNA
Source: RNAcentral
UACGUAGGGUGCAAGCGUUGUCCGGAAUUAUUUUUCUUAAAGAGCUUGUAGGCGGUUUGUCGCGUCUGCUGUGAAAUUUCGGGGCUCAACCCCGAACUUGCAGUGGGUACGGGCAGACUAGAGUGUGGUAGGGGAGACUGGAAUUCCUGGUGUAGCGGUGAAAUGCGCAGAUAUCAGGAGGAACACCGGUGGCGAAGGCGGGUCUCUGGACAGUUCCUGACGCUGAGGCACGAAGGCCAGGGGAGCAAACGGG